CCUACGGGCGGCAGCAGUGAGGAAUAUUGGUCAAUGGACGAGAGUCUGAACCAGCCAAGUAGCGUGAAGGAUGACUGCCCUAUGGGUUGUAAACUUCUUUUAUCUGGGAAUAAAACGUUCCACGUGUGGGAUUUUGUAUGUACCAUAUGAAUAAGGAUCGGCUAACUCCGUGCCAGCAGCCGCGUUAAUACGGAGGAUACGAGCGUUAUCCGGAUUUAUUGGGUUUAAAGGGAGCGUAGGUGGAUUGUUAAGUCAGUUGUGAAAGUUUGCGGCUCAACCGUAAAAUUGCAGUUGAAACUGGCAGUCUUGAGUACAGUAGAGGUGGGCGGAAUUCAUGGUGUAGCGGUGAAAUGCUUAGAUAUCACGAAGAACUCCGAUUGCGAAGGCAGUUCACUGGACUGCAACUGACACUGAGGCUCGAAAGUGUGGGUAUCAAACAGGAUUAGAUACCCCUGUAGUC
RNAcentral lists this ribosomal RNA (460 nucleotides) under uncultured bacterium. RNAcentral's name for it is "partial 16S ribosomal RNA". It matches the Rfam family "Bacterial small subunit ribosomal RNA", at positions 338 to 795 of the family's 1533-position model. The record is from RNAcentral.